GGGAAGUGAGGGGAGGUGGGGAGAGGCAGGAGGGAGGGGAGGUAGGGGAAGGGGGUAAGGGGUGAUGGGUUUGAAGAGCACACUGUGAUGAGCAGUAACGUACAGAAUCAUUGAGUCACUAUAUCGUACACCAAAAACUAACACAACACUGCGUUCAUUAUGCUUUUUAAGACAUGAUCCGUCGUUCUACCCACUCAGUGAAAAGAAGAGAUGUCAGAAUAUUUACUGAUAAAUCACCACGGUAUCUGAAGCUUAGUCUCUAAUGGUUCCUCUUUCUCUCCUGCAGAGAAACACACAGGCCUGUCUACACUGUGCGUGGAGUCUUGGAUGGUGAACGUGUGGAAAGCAUUCGGCCAAGGGGAUUUAAGCCAAAGCACUAUGGCCAUACUCUUCUCAGCUCGGGAAAUACUAGCACCUGAGCAUCCUCAAGAUGCAAAAUAACCUCUGCCAAAGCUGUUCCUGAUGGUGGCUCUCUCGGGAAGGGCAACCUCCAGGGACAGCCAGAGGGACAGCCAGUUCGCAAGUUCCAAAAGCUCAGGUUUGGUAACUCAGAGGGAGGAUAUGGUUCUUCCACUAGCAAGUUACUGGAGGUCUCCCGAGUCCAUACGACAUCAAGUUAGAACCGAAGCCUGUUCCCAGGAUGUACAACCCGAGCUAGGUAGUCAAGUGUGGAGUGUCCAUGUGACGGUGACAUGUCGGUUGCUCCGGGGAAAGUCGUCUCCAUCAUUAUCUGCUUCAUUCACCCUUUUGAGGCUGACAGCUGCCCAGGUACCAAUCUUGUGUAACAUGUGAUGCAAACAACUCUCGAGACACAGGAUCUUUCCACCUGGUCCUACUCCCUGGUCACUGCCCCAAACCCAUGCUCCAUUCUGUGACCCACGAUCAGAUUUUUAAAAAUAACAGGUCAUGAAAUAAUUUUUUUUUUUUUUUACUUAGGGAACUCAUUUACUUAUGGAUACCGCAUUCAUGCUCUAUGCUCUUCAACUCAAUUCACUGCCCUGGGAAUCUAAGCCAUGUAAGAUGAACAUCAGAAGAACCUUCAACAGAUGCUAAAUCCCCACUGCAUCUAGAUUUAACAGUACUUAUGUUUCCCGUAAACACCAGUGGCGGCCCCACCUGCCUAUUUCAUAUUACGCUUGUUGAAAACUUGAGAUACUAUCCAUGAUGUUGUUUGCAUGUUGGCUCUUUGUAGAUUACUAUAAACUCUUUCACCCAUUACAGGAAUACUGCCAAAUGGAGAAAUGAACAACUGCAUAUUUAAUUCUUCACUUAAUUACAUACAUUUUCGUAAAAAAGAAGAGCUGAGGUGGUUUUAUUCUUAAGACAACAAUCCAUGAUGAGAUAGUCAUCAUUAUGUAACCCCCAAAAUAUGGCUCCUUCAAGGAAGCAAUAUACAUUUCCUGAUGCACAGAGAACUGAGAAGUCCCAAAUGGAGGUGCCAUUUCAUAAGCCUGUUGGUUUCUCUGGGCUUUGUUUCCUCACAUGCACUGGCUGGAAGCUUCCAUGGGAGACACCUGACAAUGGGGACCCCUAAGUGAUUUUCCAUACUUCCCCCAAAUGCAGAGGUAAGCACUUUAAACGCUCAAAACCCAUCACCCUUUGGUGCCUGCAAACAAGAUGGCGAAUCUGGUAUUGUCUUACAGAUGUAACUGGAGGAAUGAGGUUUGUGUGCCUGUCUUUGGAUCCAGGACCCAUAAAUCUCGAGUGAGUUGAAAAGGCUUGUAAGGAGAUUUCACGAGAGGCGGGCAUUCUCAUGGUCUGUUUGCUCCAUCAGACAUCUGUAGGCAAUAGCUUACAAUGACGUUCACAGAGCGUUACAAGUCACACGAUACCACUUUCCCCCAGGAUAACUCUGGAGAGAGACUGUUCCUCCUGUACCCUCGGCCUCCUGGUAAACUUUCUGCAGACACAAUCAGCGUGAAUUCAGGUACGCAUAUAAUUUUCAUUUCCAUUUUAGCAAAAUAUCUGUUCUCUAUCAGUCGUAACUUUGGUUCAAAAAAAUUGCCUUUGUGGAGAAAAAAAAAAAGAAUGGUCAAUGUCUACACUAUCAGUAUAAAUUAUAUCAGUUUACCUAGCUUGGGAUUAUAAGAACUCCUGGAAAACACUUCAGUUUUUUAAAAAUUGUAACUUUCCUUUAGCAGUAAUUCAAAAAGACAGGAAAAAAAAAGAGAGAGAGAUCCAUCCUUGAUUUGAGCAAUUCUACA
Molecule: long non-coding RNA, 2204 nt
Organism: Herpailurus yagouaroundi (jaguarundi)
Lineage: Eukaryota; Metazoa; Chordata; Mammalia; Carnivora; Felidae
Exons: 2
Source: RefSeq, a predicted model, not a curated record